UACGAAGGGAGCUAGCGUUGUUCGGAAUUACUGGGCGUAAAGCGCAUGCAGGCGGAUCGUUAAGUUGGAGGUGAGAUCCCGAGGCUCAACCUCGGAACUGCCUUCAAUACUGGCAAUCUUGAGUCCGGGAGAGGUGAGUGGAACUCCGAGUGUAGAGGUGAAAUGCGUAGAGAUUCGGAAGAACACCAGUGGCGAAGGCGGCUCACUGGACCGGUACUGACGCUGAGAUGCGAAAGCGUGGGGAGCAAACAGG
RNAcentral lists this ribosomal RNA (253 nucleotides) under uncultured bacterium. Its description in RNAcentral is "partial 16S ribosomal RNA". It matches the Rfam family "Bacterial small subunit ribosomal RNA", at positions 524 to 776 of the family's 1533-position model. The record is from RNAcentral.